UUGGAGGGCAAGUCUGGUGCCAGCAGCCGCGGUAAUUCCAGCUCCAAUAGCGUAUAUUAAAGUUGUUGCAGUUAAAAAGCUCGUAGUUGAAUUUUGGGUCUGGCCGGGCGGUCCGCCCUCUGGGUGAGCACUGUUCCGACGUCGGGCCUAUCCUUCUGGUGAGUCGGCAUGUCCUUUAUUGGGUGUGUCGGGGAACCAGGACCAUUACCUUGAAAAAAUUAGAGUGUUCAAAGCAGGCGUAUGCUCGGAUACAUUAGCAUGGAAUAAUGAAAUAGGACGCGUGGUGCUAUUUUGUUGGUUUCUAGAACCGCCGUAAUGAUUAAUAGGGAUAGUUGGGGGCAUUAGUAUUCAAUUGUCAGAGGUGAAAUUCUUGGAUUUAUUGAAGACUAACUUCUGCGAAAGCAUUUGCCAAGGAUGUUUUCAUUAAUCAAGAACGAAAGUUAGGGGAUCGAAGACGAUCAGAUACCGUCGUAGUCUUAACCAUAAACUAUGCCGACUAGGAAUCGGGCGAUGUUAUUCUCAUGACUCGUUCGGCGCC
This 538-nucleotide ribosomal RNA is filed under the name uncultured Ambisporaceae. RNAcentral's name for it is "SSU rRNA". It matches the Rfam family "Eukaryotic small subunit ribosomal RNA", at positions 548 to 1087 of the family's 1831-position model. Lineage: Eukaryota; Fungi; Glomeromycota; Glomeromycetes; Archaeosporales; Ambisporaceae. The record is from RNAcentral.